AGUGAACGCUGGCGGUAGGCCUAACACAUGCAAGUCGAACGGCAGCACAGUAAGAGCUUGCUCUUACGGGUGGCGAGUGGCGGACGGGUGAGGAAUACAUCGGAAUCUACUUUUUCGUGGGGGAUAACGUAGGGAAACUUACGCUAAUACCGCAUACGACCUACGGGUGAAAGCAGGGGAUCUUCGGACCUUGCGCGAUUGCAUGAGCCGAUGUCGGAUUAGCUAGUUGGCGGGGUAAAGGCCCACCAAGGCGACGAUCCGUAGCUGGUCUGAGAGGAUGAUCAGCCACACUGGAACUGAGACACGGUCCAGACUCCUACGGGAGGCAGCAGAGGGGAAUAUUGGACAAUGGGCGCAAGCCUGAUCCGGCCAGACCGCGGAGGUGAAGAAGGCCUUCGGGUUGUAAAGCCCUUUUGUUGGGAAAGAAAAGCAGCAGGUUAAUACCCCGCUGUUCUGACGGUACCCAAAGAAUAAGCACCGGCUAACUUCGUG
This 492-nucleotide ribosomal RNA is filed under the name uncultured bacterium. Its description in RNAcentral is "partial 16S ribosomal RNA". It matches the Rfam family "Bacterial small subunit ribosomal RNA", at positions 29 to 507 of the family's 1533-position model. The record is from RNAcentral.